Lonchura striata (white-rumped munia) is the source of this 352-nucleotide non-coding RNA. Lineage: Eukaryota; Metazoa; Chordata; Aves; Passeriformes; Estrildidae. The record is from RefSeq and is a predicted model, not a curated record.
ACACUGAGCUGGCAAAUCAGAUGCACACGACUUGCCUGGCUGUGCUGCAUCCAAGCUCUGCCUUCCUGCAACUUGGCUCUCCCCUUGAAGUUCACUGCAGGCUCCUCCAGGAUGAUUGUUUUCAGUUCCAGAAGUUGAAGUGCAGCAGAUGAACACCCAAAUGAGGAUGAAUUUUAAAGGACCUAAGGACAUAUGCUCCCAAAAUUUCCUGGAUACCCAACAAAACUGAAUUACUAAUGGCUCACUUUUGGGUUGAUCAUGAGUCUUACCUGAACCUUUUUGUCUAUCUGGGUUAAUUAGGUAUUAUGUUUUCUCUUUUUCACCUAAAUAAAGAUUUUAUUAUGCCUCAAUA